CCUACUGAGAGAGGACCGGAGUUGCCCACCUUAACAUCAGACUGGAAUUUCACUCAAACUGAGGAGGAAGGGCUUCACUUGCUUAUGGACAACAAAUAAUGUGGUAGCAAGGAAAUUCAUCUUGCCCAGGCCGCAUCCAGGUUUAAAUCAGAUUUGCUGUCAGAUUUGAAGCAGUGUCUGAAAUGGGGAUUCACCACGACAGCAAUGAAGUGUUUAUGAAUUAAAGGUAUCCCUUCAACUGGAGAAAGACAAUUGAAAGCAGAGGUCUCCCUUGCCUCCCAUGAUGUGAACAGCUAACAGAAGCAUUUUAUAUCUUUGACGAUUAGGAAGUAAAUGAUAGGAAAAGGACCAAAAAACCACUCUACCCGCAGAGAACAGUGGAACUCCAGGAGAACAGAUUGAUCACUGAUUCAGAAGCAAGGAACUACUGUGAUAUGGCCCUGGCUUCUCACUCAAUUGGAGAUGGCAACGUUUUAGUGGUUUUAGUGCUAAUCAUCUAUGAAAGAGCACAAAAGGUAGCAUGCCCCCAGAGAGCAAGACAAUCAGGAUCUGUGUGGCUGUUACAACCCCGCUAAGAGGA
This is a long non-coding RNA of Pseudopipra pipra, 580 nucleotides long. RefSeq lists it as uncharacterized. NCBI's taxonomy places the organism in Eukaryota, Metazoa, Chordata, Aves, Passeriformes, Pipridae. The record is from RefSeq and is a predicted model, not a curated record. The transcript has 3 exons.